CAGUAGCCGCGGUAAUACGAAGGGUGCAAGCGUUACUCGGAAUUACCGGGCGUAAAGCGUGCGUAGGUGGUGGUUUAAGUCCGUUGUGAAAGCCCUGGGCUCAACCUGGGAAUUGCAGUGGAUACUGGGUCACUAGAGUGUGGUAGAGGAUAGUGGAAUUUCCGGUGUAGCAGUGAAAUGCGUAGAGAUCGGAAGGAACAUCUGUGGCGAAGGCGACUAUCUGGGCCAACACUGACACUGAGGCACGAAAGCGUGGGGAGCAAACAGGAUUAGAUACCCCUGUAGUCCCUGUCUCUUAUAC
This 301-nucleotide ribosomal RNA is filed under the name uncultured bacterium. Its description in RNAcentral is "partial 16S ribosomal RNA". It matches the Rfam family "Bacterial small subunit ribosomal RNA", at positions 509 to 807 of the family's 1533-position model. The record is from RNAcentral.